This 1607-nucleotide long non-coding RNA is filed under the name Pollicipes pollicipes. Its description in RNAcentral is "uncharacterized LOC119106023". Lineage: Eukaryota; Metazoa; Arthropoda; Thecostraca; Pollicipedomorpha; Pollicipedidae. The record is from RNAcentral.
CAGCAGCAGCACCACCUCCAGCAGCACCAGCAGCAGCAGCAGCACGUGCAGCAGAGUCAGCAGACGGCGCGACAACAGAUGCCUGUGGAGAUGGCCUCAUACGCCGCCGCAUACAAAGACGGUAGUUCCGGCUCCGUCCCGCCGGCCGAGUACGUGUCGCCCGUGUGAGGGCGUGACCUCCGGCCCGGCCGGCCGACCUCUGACCUGACUUCCGGUCGGGCGCUCCUGCCCACUGAGAAUGAUCGCCGUCUGCCAUAGUGCAAUACGUCCCCUGCUGGCGACGACAACAUUAUUAUCUGCAAGGGGGCCUGACCGGUGCAAUGACCUUGAGCAAGGUCCUGCUUCGGCCGCCACCGCCGCUGAUUGGAGCAGCGACGUCCAAUCGGAGGAGCGGCGUUGUGCCGGGUGUGACCUGCAGCUGGAGAGCGCCGCGCUGCAGUGAAGACGACCCCGUGACCUGCUACGUGAAAGCUGUGAUAUCAUACGUAUUUGAUGGACCGGUUAGUCCUAUAGUGCAUACGUAAAUGUCGUGUAAAAUAGAGGAGUAGACAGACGUGCUGACGCCGAAUGUGUUGGCUCGGUACACGGUGAUGUGUUUGCGUGCGUAUUUGCCGUUUUCUCAUCGUGUUAAGUUGAUUGUGCCAAGGCAAUACCGUGGCGUUACACUGUUGUUGACUAGCUUGUCUUCGUUUGCUCUGCUGUUCCCUCCCGCCCGCCCUUAGCACCCAAGCUAUGGUUGUGGUCGGUGGAACUCUGUUCAUAAUUGGUGCCAUCAUUCGGGUUUCUUCGCCAUGCCUGUGAAGCUCGCUGUGACAUACGCUACCCUUGAGUCGCAUUCUUGACCCAUGCAAUGUUAAGCCAGGGGCGUGCGAGUUAGUGCGUCUAUUUGAACAUGAUGAUGUGCUCGCUUUGUCCCCGCAGUUGUGGAAGCCAUCAAUCUCAACCGCUCUUUCGCCAUUGCGAUACGAAUCCCACUGUGGCCAUGAUUUUAAGUACUUGACGAGCUGUCUUCCUCGGUCGAGCGCGCCCAGCACUGUCUCCGUCGCUGUUCAUACUGAACCGCGUCCCCCCCUCCCCCCAACGACAAGCCACGGCUGACCUUGACCCUUGACCGUCGUGACCUGCGUGCGUCGAUCGUCGGUGUCAACGCCAGGUCGAGGGUUCAGCCACGCUCGCGUUUCAGUCACACAAAGGCACUCAGUGCCGGUCGUUGUGCAUGGCUUUCACAGGGUUGCUUCAGCGCCACCUCGCACACGUCGUUACGCGUCGUUGCCCACCCAGACAAGUGUGACAGACAUCUUCCGCCACACAAUGACAAUUAUAUCUCACGCCAAGCUAUCCUGCAGACUGGAUCAGUCGCCCUUCGACAGCCUGCUACCACAGCCGCCUGACAUUGACCUGACCUGUGGGGCCUGUGUAUCCUGGUCGAAGAUACGAGCCGCGCAACUAACGUGUUCCUGCCGAGUCCUCGUUACACAUCCCGGUUCGGUACGUUUCUGUGAAUGCUUGUUCCCAUCCUAAGCUUGAGCGGCCGGUCUGCCCAGUCAUAAUGCUGCCAUUGUUCAAUGUACAUACGUGUCGAAUGGAAAAAUAUAACCUGGAAUGGA